CAAAUUAUACAACGAAGAGUUUGAUCCUGGCUCAGGAUGAACGCUAGCGACAGGCUUAACACAUGCAAGUCGAGGGGCAGCAUAAAAGUAGCAAUACAUUUGGUGGCGACCGGCGCACGGGUGAGUAACGCGUAUGCAACCUACCUAUCAGAGGGGAAUAACCCGGCGAAAGUCGGACUAAUACCGCAUAAAACAGGGGCACCGCAUGGUGAUAUUUGUUAAAGAAAUUCGCUGAUAGAUGGGCAUGCGUUCCAUUAGGUAGUUGGUGAGGUAACGGCUCACCAAGCCGACGAUGGAUAGGGGAACUGAGAGGUUGGUCCCCCACACUGGUACUGAGACACGGACCAGACUCCUACGGGAGGCAGCAGUGAGGAAUAUUGGUCAAUGGGCGAGAGCCUGAACCAGCCAAGUCGCGUGAAGGAAGAAGGAUCUAUGGUUCGUAAACUUCUUUUGCAGGGGAAUAAAGUGCAGGACGUGUCCUGUUUUGUAUGUACCCUGAGAAUAAGGAUCGGCUAACUCCGUGCCAGCAGCCGCGGUAAUACGGAGGAUCCGAGCGUUAUCCGGAUUUAUUGGGUUUAAAGGGUGCGUAGGUGGUUUGAUAAGUCAGCGGUGAAAGUUUGCAGCUUAACUGUAAAAAUGCCGUUGAAACUGUCGGACUUGAGUGUAAAUGAGGUAGGCGGAAUGCGUGGUGUAGCGGUGAAAUGCAUAGAUAUCACGCAGAACUCCGAUUGCGAAGGCAGCUUACUAAGCUACAACUGACACUGAAGCACGAAAGCGUGGGGAUCAAACAGGAUUAGAUACCCUGGUAGUCCACGCAGUAAACGAUGAUUACUAGCUGUUUGCGAUACACAGUAAGCGGCACAGCGAAAGCGUUAAGUAAUCCACCUGGGGAGUACGCCGGCAACGGUGAAACUCAAAGGAAUUGACGGGGGCCCGCACAAGCGGAGGAACAUGUGGUUUAAUUCGAUGAUACGCGAGGAACCUUACCCGGGUUUGAACGUAGGGAGACAGGGGUGGAAACAUCCUAUUCAGCAAUGACUGCCUACGAGGUGCUGCAUGGUUGUCGUCAGCUCGUGCCGUGAGGUGUCGGCUUAAGUGCCAUAACGAGCGCAACCCUUAUUUUCAGUUACUAACAGGUGAUGCUGAGGACUCUGAAGAGACUGCCAGCGUAAGCUGUGAGGAAGGUGGGGAUGACGUCAAAUCAGCACGGCCCUUACAUCCGGGGCGACACACGUGUUACAAUGGUAAGGACAAAGGGCAGCUACCGGGCGACCGGAUGCUAAUCUCUAAACCUUAUCUCAGUUCGGAUCGGAGUCUGCAACUCGACUCCGUGAAGCUGGAUUCGCUAGUAAUCGCGCAUCAGCCAUGGCGCGGUGAAUACGUUCCCGGGCCUUGUACACACCGCCCGUCAAGCCAUGGGAGCCGGGGGUACCUGAAGUUCGUAACCGCAAGGAUCGACCUAGGGUAAAACUGGUGACUGGGGCUAAGUCGUAACAAGGUAGCCGUACCGGAAGGUGCGGCUGGAACACCUCCUUUCUGGAGC
This 1543-nucleotide ribosomal RNA is filed under the name Macellibacteroides sp. HH-ZS. RNAcentral describes it as "bacterial SSU rRNA". It matches the Rfam family "Bacterial small subunit ribosomal RNA". Lineage: Bacteria; Pseudomonadati; Bacteroidota; Bacteroidia; Bacteroidales; Porphyromonadaceae. The record is from RNAcentral.